UGGGGAAUAUUGCGCAAUGGGGGAAACCCUGACGCAGCAACGCCGCGUGAAGGAUGAAGGUUUUCGGAUUGUAAACUUCUUUGAUGAGGGACGAAUAAUGACGGUACCUCAAAAACAAGCCACGGCUAACUACGUGCCAGCAGCCGCGGUAAUACGUAGGUGGCGAGCGUUGUCCGGAAUUACUGGGUGUAAAGGGCGUGUAGGCGGGAAUGUAAGUCAGAUGUGAAAUACCGAAGCUUAACUUCGGAGCUGCAUCUGAAACUAUGUUUCUUGAGUGUCGGAGAGGAAAGCGGAAUUCCCAGUGUAGCGGUGAAAUGCGUAGAUAUUGGGAGGAACACCAGUGGCGAAGGCGGCUUUCUGGACGACAACUGACGCUGAGGCGCGAAAGCGUGGGGAGCAAACAGG
RNAcentral lists this ribosomal RNA (405 nucleotides) under uncultured prokaryote. RNAcentral describes it as "bacterial SSU rRNA". It matches the Rfam family "Bacterial small subunit ribosomal RNA", at positions 355 to 776 of the family's 1533-position model. The record is from RNAcentral. RNAcentral also lists the same sequence under 1 other name.